RNAcentral lists this ribosomal RNA (468 nucleotides) under uncultured bacterium. Its description in RNAcentral is "partial 16S ribosomal RNA". It matches the Rfam family "Bacterial small subunit ribosomal RNA", at positions 28 to 507 of the family's 1533-position model. The record is from RNAcentral.
GACGAACGCUGGCGGCGUGCUUAACACAUGCAAGUCGAACGGAAAGGCCCUGCUUUUGUGGGGUGCUCGAGUGGCGAACGGGUGAGUAACACGUGAGUAACCUGCCCUUGACUUUGGGAUAACUUCAGGAAACUGGGGCUAAUACCGGAUAGGAGCUCCUGCUGCAUGGUGGGGGUUGGAAAGUUUCGGCGGUUGGGGAUGGACUCGCGGCUUAUCAGCUUGUUGGUGGGGUAGUGGCUUACCAAGGCUUUGACGGGUAGCCGGCCUGAGAGGGUGACCGGCCACAUGGGGACUGAGAAAGGGCCCAGACUCCAACGGGAGGCAGCAGGGGGGAAUAUUGCACAAGGGGCGGAAGCCUGAUGCAGCAACGCCGCGUGCGGGAUGACGGCCUUCGGGUUGUAAACCGCUUUCGCAUGUGACGAAGCGUGAGUGACGGUAAUGGGUAAAGAAGCACCGGCUAACUACGUG